GACGAACGCUGGCGGCGUGCCUAAUACAUGCAAGUCGAACGCAGUGGGGACGGGUGCGUAACCCGUGGGUAACCUCCCAUCAGAGGGGAUAACACUUGGAAACAGGUGCUAAACCGAUACUGAUGGAUGGACCCGCGGUGCAUUAGCUAGUUGGUGAGGUAAAGGCUCACCAUGGCCACGAUGAAUAGCCGACCUGAGAGUGGGAUCGGCAACGCUGAGACGGAGACACGGCCCAGACUCCGACGUGAGGCAGCAGUAGGGAAUCGUCGGCAAUGGACGAAAGUCUGACCGAGCAACGCCGCGUGAGUGAAGAAGGUUUUCGGAUCGUAAAACUCUGUUGUUAGAGAAGCGGUAUCUAACCAGAAAGCCACGGCUAACUACGUGCCAGCAGCCGCGGUAAUUC
Molecule: ribosomal RNA, 403 nt
Filed under: uncultured bacterium
Lineage: Bacteria
Description: partial 16S ribosomal RNA
Rfam family: Bacterial small subunit ribosomal RNA
Source: RNAcentral